Molecule: long non-coding RNA, 3055 nt
Organism: Papaver somniferum (opium poppy)
Lineage: Eukaryota; Viridiplantae; Streptophyta; Magnoliopsida; Ranunculales; Papaveraceae
Exons: 2
Source: RefSeq, a predicted model, not a curated record
CUCUUCUUCUUGUAGUACUAACCGUUUUCUUCCAUAUGUAUCUCGGGGAGGUAUCAUAACACUUUCCAUAGUUCGUGUAGGUUUUGUCUUCUCUUCUUUUCUUCACGAGAACAGACCCAAAUAACCACACCUUUUGUAACUGUUUAUGGAUCAUAGAGAGGAGUUUCAAACCCGGUCCCGCUGAGUAACAUCAAAUAUUCUCUUGAGAAUUUGCGUUAAACCAAAACUCUGUCUUUGUAUAUCUCCCAGAAAAUUCUCCAAAAAGAAAGAAACGUGUUCUUAAGAUUGUUUUAACCUUUUGUUGAAACAUUUGAAAUUUCAUCCUCCAUUGUCAAAAGAUAAUCGUCUAAAAUUGUUGGGAAAUGGGUUCAAAUGGAGGAUGCAAAAAACACAAAGAAAUUGUUGUACUUGUGACUUUCAAGGCUCCAAUAGAUUUCUUUUAGACGAUUAUUUCUAACCUCCCAAUAUCAAUUGGGGAUUGCAACCGGUAUGCGAAAUAAUGCCUUCAGGAUACAUUGAAAGCCCUACAACAGAGAAAUUGGAUUCAAAGGUUUGUACUCCUUGACCCAAUCAAGAAUACACGAGCGAGAUUUCUGAUGAUGCUUUAGACAGAGAGAAAACAGGUUUUUAAUUUUGAUAGUUAAAGAAUGGGAGAAUACCUUCACUACUUAUAGGGAUAUUCAUGCCUAUUGGAGAUGCCUUUUCACUUCUAAAAAACACAUAAGAUGUCUAUUGGGAAUGGUUGUGUCUUUUAUAAACCAACACACCUAUUAAAGGUGUCUCUUCAUCUCCAACUAACAUCCAUUGUGUUUAUCCAACACAGAAUACUUCCCCGUCGUAGCGGCAAACUAAAACAGAAAACUAUUUUAUUUUCUAAGAUAUUGAAAAUAUUCAACAUUCUGGUGGUGUGUUGUUGUUCUUGAGCUCAUAGCAGAGAAGAUUCCGAGUUCGAGAAAGGAAAUAGAGAUGUUGUUGCUGCUGAAGAAACAAUAUGGGUUUGAUUCGUGAAGCAAUUUGGUGGAGUUUUGGGUCUGUUGAUGUGCAUCUGAGAUGAAUUAGGGUUUCACUGAAUGGGAAUUUGAGAUCGAAAUGGAGAUGAUGGAUUAAUGGGUUUGUGAAAUUGUUGAUGGGGUAUCCAGUGAUUUGAAGAUCUGAGAUGAACUGAUGGAUGUGGAUUGAAGCUGAGUGGAUGGUUGAAAUGAAAUAGCAGUUGUGAUGGAGCUAAAGGCAACUGCAGUGGCUCGAAGUUACUGGUGAUGAUUCUGGUGGAUUUCAGAGAUGAGAAGAAUUAGUGCCAUGGGUUCGGUGCUGUUGCAGCAACGGCUAUGUCUGAGUAUAUAGGGUUUUGGUUGCUGUGAAGCUAACAAGAGAAGGACAGAUUGAAUGAAGAUGUUGGCUCAAGAAUGGUGUAGAUGAAUGUUAGGUUUGAAAUGAUGCUAAGGAAUGAGAAGCUAGAAUGAUGCAGUGAGCUAGAUGCAACGCAGAGCUGAGUUAGGUGUUGCAGUGACUGGUGGAGUUCAGUUUGUGUAAACCGGUGUUGUGGUGGUGCUUGAGGUGUUAGAACAGCUGAAAAUAGUGACUACAAUGGAUUUUGGGGGUUGUGUAUGAAUGAAUUGCAGGAACUGAACUGAAAUGGGUAUGGAGCAGCUGCAUUGCAGGAAGGAACAAGUAUAUGGGGAAGAGCAGCUGAGAAGAUUGGGGGUGUUAAAGAUGGUGUUGUUGGGCAGUAUGGUUGGCAUUGAAGUUGCAGUGAUAAUGGCGGAGACAAUGUUGAUCUGGUGAAGUGUUGCUGAUGCUUGUUGCUGUUCUGCAGUGGCUGUGUUGCAGCAGCGAUAGAUGUAUGCUUAGGAUGCAAUGGAAUGGAGCUGUGUUGGUUUGUAGUGAACUGAGCUAAUGGGAAUGAUUUCAUCUGAAAUUGCAGGCAUAUUGCAGGUGCAGUUCUGGUGCACUCUACAAAGAAGAAGUUGAUAUGAGGCUGCAAGAGAUAAUGCAGUGAUGCAGCUGUUGAGUUACAGGUUAUGCAAGAGCUGGUUGCAACAGCUGGGAGGUCAUGCAGCAGUUUGCUGUGGUGGUUAUGUGUUGAGUUGCUGGAGCUGCAAGUGCAGCGAAGGUUGCUUACAAGAAGGGUUUGUGGUGGUGAUAAUGGAGGCCAGGGGUUCAGGUAGAGGAGUUUGUUGGUCGGUAUGAACUGCAGGAAGAACUGAGCCUACUGCCUGACAAGGAAAUGGAUAGUGGUGAUUAAAGUUGCAUGUAGGUGUUGGUUGUUACUGCAGGGAGUGAUGCACAAGGACACAACAGAGCUGAGAUAUUGGAGUCUUGUGACUGGUAGAAGAGAGAAGUAAUGGAUCUGUGGCGAUGAAUGAAUGGAUGUGAUUGAGAAUGCUUUGUGUUUAUGAGGAAAGUGUGGUUAUCUGACUCGUAAUGGCAGGAAUUGGAGCUAUAAAAGAGAUGAAGGCAGCUACAGCAAGGGACUUGCUUGUAGUCACUGAACCAGUUCCGUAGGAAACAACGCGAAAACGCAGUGAGAAUGGUGAGCCGGUGGUACUAGUUUUGGUUGUCGUAUUUCCGAACUUGAAGCAUGAAUCAUAAUAUUUCAGUGAAUCAUAAAGGUAGAACGUGUUGGACGCAAGAGUUAGUUGCGGGAUAUAUGUGUUCGGGGUCGCGCUUUUGGGUGGCCAGAGACAAUUUACCGGUGACAAAUUCCGGCAAUGUCAACCGGAUUCCAGUCGGUGACCCCAAUUUCCCGGCGAACAACUUUGGACAGAGAUUUUCACAUGGGUCUUUCUAGAUAUGGACUUGGUGGACUUCUGUCUAUUGGACUUUGGGGGGACUUGACCUAGUUUUGGAAAGAGGAAACGCUACAAAAGAGAAGUCUUCUACAACUUUAUAUCACGUAUUCUACUUGGAGUUUUGGAGAGAGCCGGAUAUCUUAGGGUUUGCUUUGGUUUUGUUUCAUCUUCUUUAUUUUAUUUUUAUAAUAUUACGAUGAACUCCAUUAUUAUGAGUAGCUAAAAUAAUCUUUGAUUAAGGGUGAUUUCAAAUCCCGAAAUAUGAA